UUUAAAAGUAGGACCCAUAUCCCACCAACUUUUUCAACUCACUUUCCAUUACAUUUCUUAAAACCCGUGCCCGGUCAAAUUGUCCCAAAUUAUGUGGGACGGAGGGAGUACUUGCCAGAGAACCUAUUUGUUAGUUUCUCAAUCUAUUAUAUUGUUUGUAGUUAGAUUAUUUUCACACUUGAGUUACUAGCUAAAUGAGUAGGUGUGAUACACAAACUUUCUAACUAACUAACAUAUUUUGUGAAAUGUGUCUUACUAGUUGCUGACCCAAUGAAUUGCUUAUUUUGUGUUGAUUAACUGACAAUCUAUUACAAGACCAAUAACUGACAAUCUAUUACAAGACCGGUAACAAUCUAGUUUCUGCAGGAGUGUGAUCAAUUGCUAACUUUCUUAAGUUGCUAACUUGCUAACUCAUCAAUGUAGUGUAUUAAAAAUGUCAACACAUAAUUUUGUUGAACUUCAAUAUAAUGUGUUGAUAUUAUGUAUUGACAUUUUGAUGUCAUCAUGUUGACAUUUUUAAUACACUUUAUAGAUGAGUUAGCAGAGUUAGCAAUUUAAAUAGUUAACAAUAUAACGCACCCCAGUUUCUGCAUAUUACUGCAGAAACCAAUUGUUCCUGAGGAACUUUACAGAGGGGAUACGUGAUUCUCAGCUUGUAGGAUUGCCGGGUUACUCAAAUGAGGUGACCGUUGAUAGAACAAGAAUAAAAGACUGUGCAUCAGUUGUUGAUCAUACUAUCCUUAUCUUCGUAAUCUCAUACACUCACUAACUGGCAGCUAUUUCAUCAUUAGGGUCUCCCUGUAUUUGCUGUUGGAGUAGGCCUGAGCACAUUCGACAGUAUCGUUUCUAAUACUUACAUGUACUCAAUUUGUGCACACGGCAUGGCAUGAAACCGGAUUUUCUGUUUUCCAAUGUUUAACCAUUUCUUCAUCACCUCCGACAUCAUUCUUCUUCGUUUUUAGGUUCAUUAUUAUGUUCAAUCCCACAUACAGAUUAACGAAUACAGGGAUCGUGUAAUUUUGCCUGCUGCGACAAAAAAGUAUGGGAAGCAUAUCAGUAAAUGUAUAAAGAUACUAGAUAUGGCUGGCUUGAAACUCUCAGGACUAAAGCUCCUGACUACAAUUACUUCUAUUGACGAUCUUAACUACCCUGAGAAAGCACAAACUUAUUACAUUGUGAAUGCGCCAUAUGUCUUUUCAGCAUGUUGGAAGGUUCAUGUGAAUCCUGUCACGCUUUCUUAUGACAGAACACUACAUAUAUCAUUACAAGACCAGUAACAAUGCAGCCAUUUUCGGAGCAAUCUAUUGUCUGAAUAAUAUCAACGUGGUAUGAAGUGCUACCAAAUGAGAUCGGUUCGAUUAGAUCAAGGUAGAUGUAGUAGAGACGAUGUAUUUCGAGACGAACAGGAGAGUGAAGGAGACUCAUUUUAAUCAAGUUUAUUGACUCAUUUUUAAGCAAGUUUAGAAAUAAAUGUGUGGAAACUAGCAUUUGCAAAUGAUUGUUUAGUUAGUUCAGUUGUUUAGUGCUUCUUGUGUAAAAUAUACUUCUACUAUUUUUUUAAUAUCAAAUUUUUUUCAUUUGUUA
Molecule: RNA transcript, 1584 nt
Organism: Salvia hispanica
Lineage: Eukaryota; Viridiplantae; Streptophyta; Magnoliopsida; Lamiales; Lamiaceae
Gene name: SEC14 cytosolic factor-like
Source: RefSeq, a predicted model, not a curated record